CAGCAGCCGCGGUAAUACAGAGGGUGCAAGCGUUAAUCGGAAUUACUGGGCGUAAAGCGCGCGUAGGUGGUUUGUUAAGUUGGAUGUGAAAGCCCCGGGCUCAACCUGGGAACUGCAUCCAAAACUGGCAAGCUAGAGUACGGUAGAGGGUGGUGGAAUUUCCUGUGUAGCGGUGAAAUGCGUAGAUAUAGGAAGGAACACCAGUGGCGAAGGCGACCACCUGGACUGAUACUGACACUGAGGUGCGAAAGCGUGGGGAGCAAACAGGAUUAGAUACCCCAGUAGUCCAUGUCUCUUAUAC
RNAcentral lists this ribosomal RNA (301 nucleotides) under uncultured bacterium. RNAcentral describes it as "partial 16S ribosomal RNA". It matches the Rfam family "Bacterial small subunit ribosomal RNA", at positions 509 to 807 of the family's 1533-position model. The record is from RNAcentral.